Molecule: non-coding RNA, 760 nt
Organism: Gambusia affinis (western mosquitofish)
Lineage: Eukaryota; Metazoa; Chordata; Actinopteri; Cyprinodontiformes; Poeciliidae
Source: the annotation of a RefSeq genome assembly
CUGUGAGUUUUAUAAAAAGAGUCAAAUGAUCCUAGGAUGUCCAAGACAGAUUUAAUUUGAAUCCAAGAAGUGAAAAUCCUUCAUGUUGUUUCUGUUUGAUUUUCUUCUAUUGCAAUAAGAUGAUGAGAGUUUUAAAUCCAGUAUCUAUUAGUGUUGGUUCAGUGUCUCUGUUUGUCUGGUGCUGAGAGCAGAGAAAUGAUUUCCAUAGAGUGGAGGCUUUGCAUGGUCAGCUGAUCCUCCAGUGAACUGAGAAGGUUUAUAGUCCUGUGAGUUCAACACUGCAGGACUCAGAUCUGUCAGUCAAGCCAGCAGAAGCAACAAGCACCAUGACCCUCAUCACCAUCCUCAUCUGGACGCUGAGCUGCUGCUGUUUUACAGGAUGCAGAGCUCAGAUCACUGUGACUCAACCUGCAGUGAAGACGAUUACACCAAGAUCCACUGUCACUAUCAACUGUACAACAAAUCAGGAUGUUUACAGUGAUUUAACCGGUGAGGGUUUGAACUGGUAUCAGCAGAAACCAGGACAGCCUCCAAAGCUCCUGAUAUAUUCGGUGGAUGAUCUCCAGUCAGGAACUCCAGCUCGGUUUAGUGGCAGUGGAAGCGGCUCUGACUUCACUUUGACCAUCAUUGAAGUUCAGGCUGAAGAUGCUGCAGUUUAUUACUGUCAGAGUGAACAUGAAACAGAUGAUGGCUACGUGUUCACACAGUGAUUAUUAGUCGUACAAAAACCUCCCUCAGUCAGACUGCAGACACUCUGAGC